UAAAUCAGUUAUGGUUCACUAGAUCGUAUACAUUACAUGGAUAACUGUGGUAAUUCUAGAGCUAAUACAUGCAACCAGCUCGGCUGCCUUGUGCAGCGAGCGCAGUUAUUAGAACAAGACCAAUCCGGCUUCUGUCGGUGAAUUGGUGAUUCUGAAUAACCGAAGCGGAGCGCAAAGGUCUCGUACCGGCGCCAGAUCUUUCAAGUGUCUGACUUAUCAGCUUGUAGCGAGGUUAUGUUCCUCGCUUGGCGGUACCGGGUGACGGGGAAUCAGGGUCCGAUUCCGGAGAGGGAGCCUGAGAAACGGCUACCACAUCCAAGGAAGGCAGCAGGCGCGCAAAUUACCCACUCCCGGCACGGGGAGGUAGUGACGAAAAAUAACGAUGCGAGGGCUUCUAGCCUUUCGUAAUCGGAAUGGGUACACUUUAAAUCCUUUAACGAGGAUCUAUUGGAGGGCAAGUCUGGUGCCAGCAGCCGCGGUAAUUCCAGCUCCAAUAGCGUAUAUUAAAGUUGCUGCGGUUAAAAAGCUCGUAGUUGGAUCCGGGCAGUCGACGCGUGGUGCGUUUUCAAACGUUACUGCGUGCUCGUCGCCACAAUCCGGCUCUGUCUUUCAUGUUCUUCACUGGACGUGAUUGGCGACCGGGACGUUUACUUUGAAAAAAUUAGAGUGCUUAAAGCAGGCAUAUGGCCUUGCAUAAUGGUGCAUGGAAUAAUGGAAUAGGACCUCGGUUCUAUUUUGUUGGUUUUCGGAGCUCGAGGUAAUGAUUAAGAGGAACAGACGGGGACAUU
Molecule: ribosomal RNA, 788 nt
Filed under: Pseudobiotus kathmanae
Lineage: Eukaryota; Metazoa; Tardigrada; Eutardigrada; Parachela; Doryphoribiidae
Description: SSU rRNA
Rfam family: Eukaryotic small subunit ribosomal RNA
Source: RNAcentral